Molecule: long non-coding RNA, 2021 nt
Organism: Oxyura jamaicensis (ruddy duck)
Lineage: Eukaryota; Metazoa; Chordata; Aves; Anseriformes; Anatidae
Exons: 2
Source: RefSeq, a predicted model, not a curated record
UGAGACUAUGAAAGCAUUGGGAACGAACUGGGGAUACCAUACUCCGUGGCAUCCUCAAAGCUCAGGAAAGGUGGAGCGAAUGAAUGGUGAAAUUAAAAAGCAGCUAACGAAACUUAUGGUAGAAACCAAGGCUUCCUGGAUAAAAUGCCUGCCGCUUGCUUUACUAAACAUACGGACGCAACCCCGGACUGAUAUAGGGGUUUCGCCUUUUGAGAUGCUUUAUGGUAUGCCUUAUGACCUAGAAAUGCCUUCUGAUCAUCCACAGCUACAGGACAAUCAGUUAAAACCCUAUUUAAUACAGUUGAUGAAUCGACGAGAGAAGUUACGAGCAAGGGGUCUAGUGGUACAACGUCCCCCAUUAGAUAUAGCAAUACACAGAAUACAGCCAGGUGAUAAGGUCCUAAUAAAAUCUUGGAGGGAAACUUCAUUAACACCUCAUUGGGAGGGACCCUAUGUUGUCUUACUUACUACAGAAACAGCAGUCCGAACCGCGGAAAAGGGAUGGACGCAUGCCAGCCGUGUGAAGGGACCAAUCCAUGAAGAAAAGUGGGAAGCAGCCCUGGGUUCUGAUGACUUGAAGCUGACACUGAAACGGACUUGAUAAGUAUUAACUGUGCAUCGUGGGAGGGGAGAAAGCCCUGUUUAAUCAAAAGCGGGUGCAAACAAUUUAACAGCCAUCUAUCAAAUUCCCCUGAAGAACACUCCUGCUGCCGAGAAGAAUUCACACCUUGUAGUUCGGCUGCAACCGAAUUGACAAGCGAGGCAGAGAAGUGAAACGGUGGGGAACCAGAGGAGGGAGAGGCUGAAUAAAACCCAUUAAAACACCCCGAGAAAAUUGCUUUCAAUCACUUCCUACGAUGCAUAGGAAUCAGUAUCUUGAUACUGGCAGGCUGGGGGUUUGCACAUCACCCCCACCAACCUUUUAAGUGGAGCCUGAUUCAGUGGGAAAGCCAGGAGGUCAUUGCAACCCAUGUAACAGUAGGAGGAACAAGUUUUAAUGCCACCCUAUGUCAGCUGGUUCCGAGGCCCCGGUGUUGGGAAUAUAUGGGAUUUUAUAUGUGCCCAAAUUCAAAUCCUGGAAAGGGGUACUGUAACGCCCCUAAUCAAUACUAUCGUAAUUACUGGGGUUGUGAGACUAUAGCUCCUAGUUGGAUACCGGGGGACGGUAGGAAUAAUAUUAAUAAAGAAGGAGGAAGUGAGAACUUCCCAGUCGGUGGGUCCCAACAAGGUAUUGUUGGAGGAAGCCCCGAGGGCUAAGACUACGAAGGAACCCCUGAGGGCUAAGAUUACAGAAGUCCCUGGAGCGUUAACUCCUGAUGAUAUGGUGGUAGUUCCUACAGGGGCAGAAGAGACCGGAAAUGGAAUUACAUCUGAGAAUGAAAUCACACCUAAGAACAAUAUGUGGAAGGUUAUAAAUGCUGGUUAUCAGGUAAUAAUCAUGCCAAGGAUUCUAUACCACUCUGAAGAAUAUAUAUAUACUCAACACACGGUAGCGGACUACCAUCUGGAAAAGAGAGAGCCAUUUACAGCCGUAACUUUGGCCACGUUAAUGAUUUUAGGAGCAGCAGGAGCUGGUACUGGAGUGGCUUCUCUGAUUAAGCAAAGUCAAGAGUUUACUUCUCUGCGUAUUGCCGUUGAUGAGGACCUGGCCCGAAUUGAGCAAUCUAUUUCGGCCCUGGAAAAAUCGGUCAGAUCACUCUCGGAGGUAGUAUUACAAAACCGGAGAGGAUUAGACUUGGUCUUUUUGCAACAAGGAGGGCUAUGUGCAGCCUUAAGAGAAGAGUGCUGCGUGUAUGCCAACCAUACUGGGGUGGUAAGGGACACAAUGACAAAACUCCGAGAGGGUCUAGAGAAAAGAAAAAGAGAGAAUGAGGCUCGGCAAAAUUGGUAUGAAUCCUGGUUUAAUUAUUCACCUUGGCUUACUACUUUGUUGUCAACUAUAGCAGGACCUUUAUUGUUGUUGAUACUAACAUUAACUUUUGGACCAUGUAUUUUUAAUAGAGUAAUUGCAAUUGUAAAAA